CCUACGGGGGGCUGCAGUGGGGAAUAUUGCACAAUGGGCGCAAGCCUGAUGCAGCCAUGCCGCGUGUGUGAAGAAGGCCUUCGGGUUGUAAAGCACUUUCAGCGGGGAGGAAGGCGUUAAGGUUAAUAACCUUGUCGAUUGACGUUACCCGCAGAAGAAGCACCGGCUAACUCCGUGCCAGCAGCCGCGGUAAUACGGAGGGUGCAAGCGUUAAUCGGAAUUACUGGGCGUAAAGCGCACGCAGGCGGUCUGUCAAGUCGGAUGUGAAAUCCCCGGGCUCAACCUGGGAACUGCAUUCGAAACUGGCAGGCUAGAGUCGUGUAGAGGGGGGUAGAAUUCCAGGUGUAGCGGUGAAAUGCGGAGAGAUCUGGAGGAAUACCGGGGGCGAAGGCGGCCCCCUGGACAAAGACUGACGCUCAGGUGCGAAAGCGUGGGGAGCAAACAGGAUUAGAUACCCGGGUAGUC
RNAcentral lists this ribosomal RNA (465 nucleotides) under uncultured Klebsiella sp. Its description in RNAcentral is "bacterial SSU rRNA". It matches the Rfam family "Bacterial small subunit ribosomal RNA", at positions 338 to 795 of the family's 1533-position model. The record is from RNAcentral. Lineage: Bacteria; Pseudomonadati; Pseudomonadota; Gammaproteobacteria; Enterobacterales; Enterobacteriaceae.